This 71-nucleotide transfer RNA is filed under the name Planctomycetota bacterium. Its description in RNAcentral is "Planctomycetes bacterium (groundwater metagenome) tRNA-Phe". It matches the Rfam family "tRNA". Rfam says of the family: Transfer RNA (tRNA) molecules are approximately 80 nucleotides in length. Their secondary structure includes four short double-helical elements and three loops (D, anti-codon, and T loops). The record is from RNAcentral. Lineage: Bacteria; Pseudomonadati; Planctomycetota.
UCCGGUGCAGCUCGAAGGUCGAGCGUCCCGCUGAAGCCGGGAGGGUGCUGGUUCGAGUCCAGCCGCCGGAA